ACGACAGCCCAUCACUUCUGCCGUCACGCCUUAAACUCCCCUCCUCACCUCAGGCACAUUACCCCCUCCAAGCUGUCAACACGGAGCCCUUUUACAAGCGAGCCCCUCCGGGAAGCUGCACAAGGCCAGUUUUUCCGUCAGCAGUCCCAGCUCAGCACUGCCGAGGCAGACUCGCUCCUCGGGCGGCACCUGCCUGCGCGGCUGCCGGGCCGGUGGCGGCGCCGGGCCGGCGCAGCAGCAGAAAGUGAAGGAGCAGCGAGAGCGGUGGAGGCGGCGCACGGUGCGGCGGAUGAGCGCGGCCGAGCAAGGCCCCCAGCGCGCCCAUAGGUAGAGAUAGCAGAGCGUGAUCAGCAUGGCGCGCGCCCCCGCGCCGCCCCUCCCCUCCCCGCGCCGCCGGCCCGCCCCCUCAACGGCCGGCAACCGCCGAGCGCAACCGGGGGAGACCCCGGCCCCGCCCACACCAUUGGCCACCUCCCCCCCCGCGAGAGAGAGAAAGGAGUGAGGCGGCCGCCGCUCUGAUUGGCUCGCGGCCCCGCUCACCCCCCCCGCCCUCUUUAAACCCCUCCCCACCAACACCACCCCACGGUGGGGGCGGUUAACGGCCAGUGCGCGUGGGGACUCGGAGGGGCGGGGGGGCGGUGUCCGAGAAGCGGGUAACAGCCUGUCCUUGCGCGUCCCACCUUACACGAGCCCAUCCCCGGUCAGAAACGCUUGUAGUACAUACUGCGGUUUAGUGUGGAAACAACAGAGCAAAACUACUGUUAACUCUUCACAUAGAGAAACUCUUCACACUCUUUUCAUGCUGCGGGAAAUAAAGAAUUAUGCUUUGAACAACGUGUAAAGAACAAAAAUCAUUAAAAAGGCCAGUUUGGGGGGUCGUCCUCUCAUGCAGUA
Dromaius novaehollandiae (emu) is the source of this 894-nucleotide long non-coding RNA. RefSeq lists it as uncharacterized. The transcript has 2 exons. Lineage: Eukaryota; Metazoa; Chordata; Aves; Casuariiformes; Dromaiidae. The record is from RefSeq and is a predicted model, not a curated record.